AGGUGCUGGGUAGGCUUCCUCAGGCUAUGUUUCUCUGUGUGGAGUUGCUUCUUCCAGCUCACUGAGGAUGACCUGGAGCACUCGGCUGAACUGGAAGCUCAGGGGUGCAUAGCUGGUUGUAUGAUGGGGAGCAGCUGCAUUUUCUUCACACAUAUCUUGGAGAAAAGGGAUGUCUAAAGACUUGCUCAGCAAAUCUGAGACCCAAAAGACAGGAAAAGUGUGUGAUUUCCUUGCUUCUGAGAGGAGUGUUUGAUUGAGAGGAGGUAAUUACCUCAUCAACAUUCAACAAUCUGAAUGAGAGGUGGUGAAGUAAAUUAAUAUGCCCAAGACAGAAAACAACUUUGAGAAUACAACCAGGAGAAACAAGGCAGCCAGUCAUGUGGUGUGUAAUGCUUACGUGGCAGACUGGAAAACGAAGUAGACUGUCAAGGGAGAUGGAGAAAUCUCAAAUCUAAUACACUUUGUGCUACACGCUAUGGAAAUUGUCUGCUUUGUGCAAAAUGAAAUGGAUUGAAAUCAC
Molecule: long non-coding RNA, 520 nt
Organism: Pogoniulus pusillus (Red-fronted tinkerbird)
Lineage: Eukaryota; Metazoa; Chordata; Aves; Piciformes; Lybiidae
Exons: 4
Source: RefSeq, a predicted model, not a curated record